GCUGUCGUGGCCGAGGGGUUAAGGCGAUGGACUAGAAAUCCAUUGGGGUCUCCCCGCACAGAUUCAAAUACUGGCGACUGCG
RNAcentral lists this transfer RNA (82 nucleotides) under Ixodes scapularis (black-legged tick). It matches the Rfam family "tRNA". From Rfam's summary of the family: Transfer RNA (tRNA) molecules are approximately 80 nucleotides in length. Lineage: Eukaryota; Metazoa; Arthropoda; Arachnida; Ixodida; Ixodidae. The record is from Rfam by way of RNAcentral.